This 1192-nucleotide long non-coding RNA is filed under the name Capsicum annuum. Its description in RNAcentral is "long non-coding RNA (CANN_LNC004948)". The record is from RNAcentral. Lineage: Eukaryota; Viridiplantae; Streptophyta; Magnoliopsida; Solanales; Solanaceae.
GAGAAAUUACAAGAUAUUUGAAAUGAAUAAUCAAAAUCAUAACUUCUACUCAACCAACAAGUUGUUCUUUUGUGGUCAACUUUUUGCAUAUUGAGCACGUAUUCUUUUUCCUUGGCUUCAUAGGCGAUUUCAAGACACCAAGAACUCAUUUUAUUUUCUUCCUUCUGAGUUUGUGUAAUGGGAUGGUAGCAGCCUCAUCUCUUUAAAUGCUCAGGAGCAACCCAUUUCGAAUACAGCGGAACUACAUAGAGAGUUCCACUAUAUGCACUUAAGUAAUGCUUAACAAGAUAGAUGGGGGAUGAAAAUUCAUAAAUGCUUUUCGUGUAUUUAUCUCUUAACUUCAGCCUCAAGGCUUUCACAACAUGAGCACAAGAAAUUUUCUCCAAGUCAAACUUUCUACAAUAACAUAUUCUUUCUAGUAGAUUGACUUUGAAAGUAACAUCACUUUAGAUUACAUUGUACUCUCGUACGUGUUUCCAUUUAUGUUGCUCACAUGUAAAUUAUUCCCAGCAUUCAUAUUUUCCCUUAUGAUAUUUUCAUCCCAUGGAACACAUUUAGUUGUGGCUUUUAGAAUCUCUAUAUGCCUCUCCUAGAGUUUUGCGGCUAACUUCUUGAUUAUAGAAUUGGACAUGACAGCCACAAGAAACUCCCUUUUAUCCGUCAACACUGCAUUAAGUGACUCUGGAAUAUAUUUUAUCAUCAUAUCAAACCUAUAUUUAGUAAAGUAUGGUCGGCUUCACUUAUGAAAUCUAAUAUCAACCUCAAGGCAAUGGGCUGCUUCGGAAUAUUUUACCUUCAGCUCCAAAAAAUGUUCAGCAAAACUCGCUAUAGUUAUAUGCCCUUGCCGCAUGUUAGUAUCAAUAUAGGUAACUCCUUCAUUGAAAAUUAUUUCGGAGAUUUUCUGCCUCAUGCAAAGUCCAUGGUUAUCAUGUCUAUCAACCCUUGAAAUGUCAUUGACUAUACUCAUCUAUCAGAGAUAAUACACGGAACUAGUUCAUCGACUAUGAUAGACUUCAGCUUUUCAAAAAAGAAGAUUCAAAAAUUAUCGCAUUCCUUGUCCACCACGGUAAAAUCAAUUGAAAAUAUAUGAUUCUUUGUAUCUUAAGCAACAACACACCUUUAUAUUUAUCAUUCAAAUAUGUGUAGUCAAUGAUAAUUACCUCUCGCAUAUGGAAAAAUCCCUAAAUGCAAG